AUGGCAGUAAGACUAAUAUUUAACAAAAUACUCCAGAAAAAAAGCACACAGUGUUGCUUUGUAUCUGACUGCACUUUCUUCCUGUGAUAACAAAUCAGAAAAUACUAAAGAUGGAAUAGGCAGGCAGGUAAUAUGAAUAUGUGGAGCAGAAAUAAGGACACUUGAAAAAGAUGUUGAGACAUUGAAAGCAGUUCAUUUUUCAAGCAGUACAUUUCACAUUCUUUCAAUAGAGAUCUUGACUAUUUCUCUCUAACGAUGCCGUGAUUUCAGCUCAAUCAACAGCUAAGAUGAGAAUCUGGAAAGCAAGAAAUAUGAGGGUUGACAAGGAUGCUUGCUUCUGGAGCCUAGCUUUGUCAAGAAAAAUGCCAGACUGGUUCUUCGAUGACUUUUGCUUUGUGGAGGAAUGUUCUCCCUGCCUACUCAAAGCCACUGAGCACUCACCCUUCUGAAUUAGGACAGGAGCCAUCAGGACAAUGGGCAGAAAAAGGAGGAAUCUUCACUGUCCAGGUUAGAGACCCUAA
Peromyscus eremicus (cactus mouse) is the source of this 521-nucleotide long non-coding RNA. RefSeq lists it as uncharacterized. The record is from RefSeq and is a predicted model, not a curated record. NCBI's taxonomy places the organism in Eukaryota, Metazoa, Chordata, Mammalia, Rodentia, Cricetidae. The transcript is spliced from 3 exons.